Topomyia yanbarensis is the source of this 968-nucleotide long non-coding RNA. RefSeq lists it as uncharacterized. The transcript has 2 exons. Lineage: Eukaryota; Metazoa; Arthropoda; Insecta; Diptera; Culicidae. The record is from RefSeq and is a predicted model, not a curated record.
UCGGCGAACCUGCAGAUAUCCCUGAACAUAUUCUGGUAUGACCUCAGCUUGGUUUGCAGCGUCCGCAACGCCGGUGACUUCUUAGCACUCGAUGAUGUAGUCGGCGGCAUUGUAACACAAUUUCACUUUGACAGAACGGGAAGAUAAUACGGAGGUGUAAUAUUCUGCUUGUUUCCUAACUUCGGAUGGGCAUAUACUGUAGAGCUGUUUUUAUUAUUUACCUGAAGAAACAGGAAUUUCCGCUUUCUCUACAGUUAUGUCCCUCAGAAAUAUUCGAACGAUGCGGCUCCAAAUGAUUGUGGAAGUACGAGUAAUUUAAAUACUUCAUACGGAUCCAGAUUUCGCGGGAGAGGUGAAAAGGGUUAUGUAGUAAAAUUGUUGGUCCAACUACGGCUGAACAUAUACUGUUCUAACUGACCUGACAAAACAGUAACGCUGCUAAAUUUCAUGAAAAAAACGAUGUGCCGGAUUUUCUCGUGAUCACACCGAUGCUCCGAAAGUAGGACGCAGUGAAACAAUAAUGCACUUAUGCGCGCCCCUUGUUCAUAUGCUUGUAAAUGUUGUUUAUGUAUGUAUACAUCGAUCACGAUCAAAACAGUGUUUAGAGAGGAGUGAAAUAUGCUAUGUAGUAUGGCAAUAGAUUCCAGCUUCGGCCGGACAUAUACAAGUGGUGCAAUUCAAUUAACUGACCUGGAAGGAUAACGGUCGCUCCUGCACCAAGUGAACCAGCGUAGGAUGUAGUUGCAGUCGGGAAUUUUAACGUGAUGGUGUUAUUUCUGGACAAACCAGGGCAAUUCGCCCAUUCCGGAAUGGUUUCCUUUUGCGACGGGUGCCGACGAUGUGAAAUGCAGUUGGCUCGAUUCUGCGAUGAUCUUGUUGGUGACUUCCCGGUCACAGAAUAAGCGGAAUGAAGUGUGAAAUAUCCUGAUUAUGUGCAAUGUAGCAAUAAAUGUCACAAGUGAAGGUAA